UGGAGAAGCAGAAAUCCUUGAAUGAUGGAUA
This 31-nucleotide non-coding RNA is filed under the name Rattus norvegicus (Norway rat). The record is from RNAcentral. Lineage: Eukaryota; Metazoa; Chordata; Mammalia; Rodentia; Muridae.